CUCGGGAAGCCGUGUACAGGCGUUAUACCCGGGAAUUUCCGAAUGGGGAAACCCACUAUGGUAAACCCAUAGUAUCACCAGCUGAAUAUAUAGGCUGGUCGAAGGUAACCUGGGGAACUGAAACAUCUAAGUACCCAGAGGAAAAGAGAUUAUUUCCCUAGUAGUGGCGAGCGAACGGGAAUCAGCCCAAACCAUUUGUGCUUGCACAAGUGGGGUUGUAGGGUCUGGCAACAUAGAGUUACAAAUCAAUUGGUUAGCAAAAAGGUGUGGGAAAGCCUGCCAAAGAGGGUAACAGCCCCGUAUGCGAAAACUAAUUGACUCUUGCUAGAUACCUGAGUACUGCCGAGCACGCUAAUUCGGCAGGAAUCCGGGGAGUCCACUCUCCAAGGCUAAAUACACUUGGCAACCGAUAGUGAACAAGUACCGUGAGGGAAAGGUGAAAAGAACCCCUGUUAGGGGAGUGAAAUAGAACCUGAAACCGUAAGCCUACAAGCAGUCGGAGGGCUAACAGCAUGUCGGUGCUAUUGAGAAAUCAUGUGCGCGGUGCUAUGCCUGACGGCGUGCCUCUUGGAGAAUGAGCCUGCGAGUUAAUUUCAGUGGCAAGGUUAAGGGAGUGACACCCGAAGCCGUAGCGAAAGCGAGUCUUAAUAGGGCGUACAGUCGCUGGAAUUAGACACGAAACCUGGUGAGCUACCCAUGGUCAGGGUGAAGCGAGUCUAAACGCUCGUGGAGGCCCGAACCUUUCAACGUUGCAAAGUUGUGGGAUGAACUGUGGGUAGAGGUGAUAUGCCAAACGAACCAGGAGAUAGCUUGUUCUCUCCGAAAUAGCUUUAGGGCUAGCGUCAUGCGUUUAGUACCGGAGGUAGAGCACUGGAUGGGCUAGAGGGCUUACCGCUUAUCGAACCUAACCAAACUCCGAAUGCCGGUACUCCAGAGCAUGGCAGUCGGACCACGGGAGAUGAGUUUCGUGGUCGAAAGGGAAAGAGCCCAGACCAUCGGCUAAGGUCCUUAAAUCUAUGCUAAGUGGGAAACGAGGUGAGGUUACUGAAACAACCAGGAGGUUGGCUUAGAAGCAGCCACCCUUUAAAAAGUGCGUAACAGCUUACUGGUCAAGUGACCUUGCGCGGAAAAUGUAACGGGGCUAAGCAUAGUACCGAAGCCAUGGGUUUCAACAUUUGUUGGAGCAGUAGGAGAGCGUUCUGUUCAGCGGUGAAGGUCGACUGUGAAGGCGGCUGGAGCGGACAGAAGUGAGAAUGCAGGCAUGAGUAGCGUAUAAACAUGUGAGAACCAUGUUCGCCGUAAAUCUAAGGUUUCCGACGCCAGGUUAUUCCGCGUCGGGUUAGUCGGCCCUUAGUCGAGGCCGAAAGGCGUAGACGAUGGAUAUCCGGUCAACAUUCCGGAACCACUUAUGAUGAGUGAUGAGGGGACACAGCGAGGUAGGCUAGCCAGCGAUUGGUAGUGCUGGUGCUAAGCGUCUAGGUGUUGAGACCUGUAGGAAAAUCCGCAGGUUGAGCUGAAGCGCGAAUGCGAGCCCCUGAGGCAGAAGUAGUUGAGCCUUGCUGUCAAGAAAAGCCUCUAAACGUUGAAUCAUGAGUGUCCGUACCGCAAACCGACACCGGUAGAUGGGUAGAGUAUACCAAGGCGAACGGGAGAACUUUCGUUAAGGAACUCGGCAAAUUAGCUCCGUAACUUCGGGAUAAGGAGUGCCUCUUAUUGUGAUGUGUAAACUGAAGCAUAAAGAGGUCGCAGUGAAAUGGCUCUGAUGACUGGUUACCAAAACCACAGGUCUCUGCUAAGCCGAAAGGCGAUGUAUAGGGGCUGACACCUGCCCAGUGCUGGAAGAUUAAAGGGAGAGGUUAGCGCAAGCGAAGCUUUGAACUGAAGUCCCAGUGAACGGCGGCCGUAACUAUAACGGUCCUAAGGUAGCGAAAUUCCUUGUCGGGUAAGUUCCGACCCGCACGAACGGUGUAACAAUCAGAGCACUGUCUCAACGAAAGACCCGGUGAAAUUGAAAUGGCUGUGAAGAUGCGGCCUACCCGCAGCAGGACAAAAAGACCCCAUGAAGCUUUACUGUAGCUUGACAUUGUGUUUGGGUAUGAUUUGUGUAGUAUAGGUGGGAGACUAUGAAGCUGGAGCGUUAGCUUCGGUGGAGUCGCCAGUGAAAUACCACCCUGAUCAUGCCUAGGCCCUAACCCCAUUCCGUAAUCCGGAUGGGGGACAGUGUCUGGUGGGCAGUUUGACUGGGGCGGUCGCCUCCCAAAAGGUAACGGAGGCGCCCAAAGGUUCCCUCAGGCUGAAUGGAAACCAGCCAAAGAGUGUAAAGGCAUAAGGGAGCUUAACUGCAAGACCAACGCGUCGAGCAGAUACGAAAGUAGGGCUUAGUGAUCCCACGGUUCCGAGUGGAAGGGCCGUGGCUUACCGGAUAAAAGCUACUCUGGGGAUAACAGGCUAGUGAAGUCCAAGAGUUCACAUCGACGACUUCGCUCGGCACCUCGAUGUCGGCUCAUCGCAUCCUGGGGCUGGACAAGGUCCCAAGGGUUGGGCUGUUCGCCCAUUAAAGCGGUACGCGAGCUGGGUUCAGACCGUCGUGAGACAGGUCGGUCUCUAUCCGCUGUGGGCGUAAGGGAUUUGAGGAGA
This 2637-nucleotide ribosomal RNA is filed under the name Gammaproteobacteria bacterium. Its description in RNAcentral is "partial 23S ribosomal RNA". It matches the Rfam family "Bacterial large subunit ribosomal RNA", at positions 77 to 2670 of the family's 2925-position model. Lineage: Bacteria; Pseudomonadati; Pseudomonadota; Gammaproteobacteria. The record is from RNAcentral.